Molecule: ribosomal RNA, 241 nt
Filed under: uncultured bacterium
Lineage: Bacteria
Description: partial 16S ribosomal RNA
Rfam family: Bacterial small subunit ribosomal RNA
Source: RNAcentral
CGUGGGUAACCUGCCUUAUAGUGGGGGAUAGCCUUUCGAGAGGAAGAUUAAUACCGCAUAAGAUUGUAGUAUCGCAUGAUAUAGCAAUUAAAGGAGCAAUUCGCUAUAAGAUGGACCCGCGUCGCAUUAGCUAGUUGGUGAGGUAAUGGCUCACCAAGGCGACGAUGCGUAGCCGACCUGAGAGGGUGAUCGGCCACAUUGGGACUGAGACACGGCCCAGACUCCUACGGGAGGCAGCAUG